CCAGCCCAAUUCAAGCUUGAUGAGAGCAGCGCGAGUUCUAAGUGGAAUCAGGAACCUGGGAGGUAGAUCACUGCCUGCAGGCCCCUUAAAUCACAGGGCGUGUGGUAUUUCAACGACUCUGACUUGUGGGAGGCGUUUGCCCUUUCGUGAUUUGCUUUUUGCUUUUUCUUGCUCAUCUCACUGAGGUAUUUUCACAAGGCGACGGACGCAGCCCAGCCGUAUUGUUGUUUCGGAGUGGGAGAGGUAUUCCCUGUAACUCGCUAUAUAAAUAAGCAGGAUAGGCCUUGUCUCAGCCUAAUUGGAGAAGGUUGUGCUAUAUUGGCGGACGAGCAGGUUCCCCUCACACAUUGAUGCAUGCUUUUGGAUGGAUGGAUGGAAGAACCGUUCACCUUUCCACUCUCCAGACAUC
This 409-nucleotide small RNA is filed under the name Histoplasma ohiense. RNAcentral describes it as "hypothetical lncRNA". Lineage: Eukaryota; Fungi; Ascomycota; Eurotiomycetes; Onygenales; Ajellomycetaceae. The record is from RNAcentral.